AUGGAUAAGUGUUUAUGGCAGAACUAACGAUACAGGCGAAACAGGAAGCCGCUCUGAGCUGGGUCGGCUGCUCGCGUCGCCCUCGCUCUCCUCUCCGAGGGAACGCUCUUCAGCUGACUGGAGCAGGGCAGCCGAGCCAAUCAGAGGCUGCUCUCCUCGCUCAGUCACCAGUCUGGGGUUGAGGAAGGGUUUUUGCUUUUUAUGCUCUGUAUUGGGAAAGCAGGGAAAAUGCCAGGUCUGGACUGCCUCUGGGGAUAACCUCACCCGGCGCGACGUGAAUGAAUAGCUUCUUGCCUGGUAAAGCCGCAGGAAUUGAUGAGGCAGGCGCAGUUCUUCCAAGGAGGCCUUUUCUACCUUUUAGCUCGAGCUGUGGUUUCUGUAGCUAUUUUGUUUUCGUCUUGAAAGAGGUGCUCUGGAUUAUCAGCCCUCCAUGUAUGACAAUUUGUACCUGCAUGGAAUUGAAGACUCAGAGGCUGAAGAAUAAUGUGAUGUGUUACCCAAGAUGGUGUGAACAGAGCUUCAAGCCAAUGGAGAAGACUAGGCCUAAAUAGCUGACCUGGUGAAGUGAAAAAUAAAGCCACACCUGGAGUCUCACAUCCUCAGCAGUCAUUCUCAGUGCCAAUGCAUUUAUGGCUGUAAGUGUGGGGGGUUGCCCAGGUUGAAGCAAAGCUCUCGGAAAGAGGUCUGGUGGAUAGGCCUGGAGAGGCUUUUCUCAGAUGACCAGCUACAGCCCAAGAAUAUAUAGGCACUAAAAGCUGAGAACGGCACUUCCUUUUGGGGGGGUUGGGGAGCCCUCCGCAUAUGUCCCACCACUCUGUGCUGUUGAAGAGAUCUCUGUGGGGUGUGUGGGGCUUACCGUGUGGUAAGUGAUCAUGUUCAGUGUGUUCACGCAGUAAGCCUUGAAUAAGAUCAUCUUGCCUAGGGACUGACAGCUCACUCGGAAUAAGAAUAAAGCGUUAUUAUCCACGGUUAGCACCUCACAUCCCCCCUGUACAUUAGACAUUUUGGUACUGUGAUGUGAGGAAUCUUGUCCAAAGGUAGAUAGUUUACUCCUGUAUCCUAGACGUUAGCUUCUCACCUCUGUAUUUCACAUGUUGUGUAUACAGAGAGGACCAAGAAACAUGGGGGAAUGUAUCUGAGUUUGGGCAUUUUAGAUUUUUAGUCCUGUGAGGACUUUUGGGACAAGUCUGUUACUUCUGUUCUGGUUUCCAGGAAGGUAGUUAAGAAUCAGGAUCAUUCAGAAUUACCCGGAAGCACUAAAGAUCAUUCAGUGCCCCACCGUGCUGCAUGGGAAGAGGGGAUUUCACCCAGGAUGCUCUCCCGUGUUACCUUGAAACACACGAUGGCAUUUCCCCUCCCAGAUGAGUAUAAGGCUAGACCAGGCCAAUUACAGUGGGCCAUGCACACAGACUCCAGCCAUCUUCUGUCUUAAGGUUGACCCAUUCUAUAUUGUACACACUGUGUCUUAAUGUAGGUUCUGAUGGCCGAGGUGUUUUUCACCAACAGAGCCCUUAAGGUCCAUUAUGUAUUUUCACCUGAUUCAUAGUAGAUCUAAAUAUAUCUUUUCCUUGGUAUAGAUGUAUAUUAUGAAUGGGUUUAUUGUGCAUUCUGACAUUUGUGGAAUUGUUCUAGGAAUAGCUUUUAAAAAAUAUUCAGCAUGUUUAUUUCACAAACAAUGCAAGGAAUAGUCUUAAAGGGGUAAAGGAAAGGAGUAGAUAAACCAAAAAAGUUACCUAAAAUCCACCACUCAGACAUACUAGCUCUUAACCUGUGCUGUACAUCUGUUCCGGCUAUCAGUGCACCUAUCUGUAAACGUGUCAUUCUAUACUGCUAUUGUGUGUUACAGUCUGUGCUGUUAAAUGUUUUCCUCACUUGAUAAAAUAUUGAG
This 1888-nucleotide long non-coding RNA is filed under the name Dasypus novemcinctus (nine-banded armadillo). RNAcentral's name for it is "lncRNA (ENSDNOG00000050170.1)". Lineage: Eukaryota; Metazoa; Chordata; Mammalia; Cingulata; Dasypodidae. The record is from RNAcentral.